This 377-nucleotide ribosomal RNA is filed under the name uncultured bacterium. Its description in RNAcentral is "bacterial SSU rRNA". It matches the Rfam family "Bacterial small subunit ribosomal RNA", at positions 523 to 898 of the family's 1533-position model. The record is from RNAcentral.
AUACGUAGGGGGCGAGCGUUGUCCGGAAUCACUGGGCGUAAAGGGUGCGUAGGCGGCACGUAAAGUCCCGUGUGAAAUGCUUCGGCUCAACCGAAGAGGGUCACGGGAAACUGGCGUGCUUGAGGGCCGGAGAGGAUGGCGGAAUUCCCGGUGUAGCGGUGAUAUGCGUAGAUAUCGGGAGGAACACCAGUGGCGAAGGCGGCCAUCUGGACGGUCCCUGACGCUGAGGCACGAAAGCUGGGGGAGCAAACAGGAUUAGAUACCCUGGUAGUCCCAGCCGUAAACGAUGGAUGCUAGGUGUUGGGGGUUUCGACACCCUCAGUGCCGCAGGACACCCAUUAAGCAUCCCGCCUGGGGAGUACGGCCGCAAGGCUGAA